GAUGAACGCUGGCGGUAUGCUUAACACAUGCAAGUCGAACGGACUCUUCGGAGUUAGUGGCGGACGGGUGAGUAACGCGUGAGAAUCUGGCUUUGGGUUCGGGACAACCACUGGAAACGGUGGCUAAUACCGGAUGUGCCGAGAGGUAAAAGAGAAAUUGCCUGAAGAUGAGCUCGCGUCUGAUUAGCUAGUUGGUGAGGUAAAGGCUCACCAAGGCAGCGAUCAGUAGCUGGUCUGAGAGGAUGACCAGCCACACUGGGACUGAGACACGGCCCAGACUCCUACGGUAGGCAGCAGUGGGGAAUUUUCCGCAAUGGGCGAAAGCCUGACGGAGCAAUACCGCGUGAGGGAAGAAGGCUCUUGGGUUGUAAACCUCUUUUCUUAGGGAAGAAUAAAAUGACGGUACCUAAGGAAUCAGCAUCGGCUAACUCCGUG
RNAcentral lists this ribosomal RNA (435 nucleotides) under uncultured bacterium. RNAcentral's name for it is "partial 16S ribosomal RNA". It matches the Rfam family "Bacterial small subunit ribosomal RNA", at positions 28 to 507 of the family's 1533-position model. The record is from RNAcentral.